CAGCCGCAGAUAUAGAGGAGACACCCCCCCCUAAUUUCUCAUAUCCUUCGAACCACCCCACCCCCGAAUGACCUGAGCCUCUUCUUCUUUAUUGAACCUGAACGCCAACAGCAACACACCUCUCACUAGACCCAUCGACGAGCCUUCCCGCCUCGUUGGACACCGGCGACCACCCUAGAAUGAGGACCCCAAGAUCUUCUUCUCCAUUUUUAAGCUACAGAACUUGGACCUCUCCAUCUUCAAGCAAUAGAUCUUUCAGCAGCAAAGAACAAAAAUAGAACCCACGAUCCCCUCACUCAAACGUGUCUGGCAACACACAGACACACGCACGCAUAAAAGUUUAGGAUUCCUUUGAAAAAAUCAGAUUUGGAAUUCAAAGCUACAAAGAAAAACCGCACAACUCCGGAAGAUCUGAAAACGAGGAAAAGGUUUCUGAAAAUCUGGAUUUCCAAAGGGAUUCUUGAGGUCGAGAUUUGUUGCCUUGUUGGUUUUUUCGGUCCCGUAUGAUUUCAGUCGAUGUUUUCGGUUCAAGGUCAGAUUAGUUCUCUCGAUGAAUUGAAUUAUUACGAUGUUGCAUCUUAUGCACUUUCUGUUCUUUUCUUUAAAGUUAGAUUCAAUAAAAUAUGAUUUUAAGUUGUGUUCUUGUCUGGUAAUUGCAUCAUAUUUGUACUAUUCUCUUCUGAAUUGCAGAUUGUUUGAAAGUAACUUCUUGAUUUCUUUUCUUAGCUCAUUCUGAUUUUUGUUUUUUUCUUUGUUUCAAUUUUUAUUUUCAGUAUUGGUAACAAUAAAGGGUGUUGUCUUUCGUUUUGUGUGGCUUUUGUUGCAUAGAGAAUUUCUCCUGUGGUUACAAGGACAUAUGACGGGUGAAAAGUUUGGGUAAUUGGCUAAUUGCAAUGAACUUAUGAUUCUUGAACGUAUGGUUGGUAUUAACUUGAGUAGAGAUUUAAUAACCAUUGAACACUUAGUAUACUUUUAGGCAACUAUCGUGGUUAUGGACACAUUCGCGUGACAUGAUUACGAUUUCUAAAAACAAAACCGGAGUAUGCGGUCGCGCAACUUUGGCUAAAACGUUCUUAAUAAUAAUCAAGCAAUAUUAAUUAUGGACACGUUUGCGUGACAUGAUUUUUGACGUGCCAAAUAAAUGGGUAUACGUACGCGUGACCCGUUUCAAGAUACUUUUCUUAAUUAAAAAGCGGUAAAAGGUAAAUGCACAUAGGUUCUAAAAUCAAUAAUCAAACAAUUUAAUAAGCCAAGUAUGAUCAAAGCGACCGUGCUAGAACCACGAAACUCGGGAAUGCCCNNNNNNNNNNNNNNNNNNNNNNNNNAUUGGAAAAACUCCAUUAUACCUUUUCGGGGGUAGUAAAAAAGAGGUGUGAUAGUAAGAAAUACAAUAAUGGUGUGUAACAAUCAUUCCAAGUAACGUGAGUAAUAAUGGAGCAUUAAAUAAAGGAAUGAUUCACCCAAUAAAGGAGAAAAUAAAUGUUAUUCCUCCUGACAAUGAUGAAUGAUAGACAGAUCCUUGAAGGUUCAAAUUAUUCUUGGAUCUGGUAGAAAUUAUGGAAUGAUGUGGACAAGAAUCUUGGUAAAAAGGUGUUGUUUGUAUCUUAUUAAGAGAGAGAGAGAGAGAAAUUUUUUAUCAAAAUGUGUUCUUGCAAAUGAAUAUCCCCCUACAUCAUUGUCUCUCUCCCUCUUUAUAUGAAAUAUAUUCCUAACAAACCCUAAAUAAUACAAGUAUAGAGAAUAUCCACUAGAAUAUUCUCUUUAAAACUUUAUUUUGAAAACUAGCUGUUACAGCUAUGUCAACGGUGCUCGACCUCGGCCAUUGUUGAUGCCUCGACCAUGAAUCUCGAUGCUUACUAGUCGACCUCGACUGAUGAUGGCUUGAAAACUCUUCGUUUGGCAAUAUAAUCUUAAAUACUUUAGGGCAGAUUUUGACCUAUACAGUUUUAAAUUGGGGAUUGAAUUCAUAUUCUCUUAUUUCACUUUGGGUUAGUCGAUUUUGGAGCUCUUAGAGAGGGAUUUUUCACCUAUCAUCGUAAGGUUAGUAAUUACUACCUAAUAUGAGUUUAAUAUAGGGAUUUUGGGUAAUUUUAACAUAUAAAUUGUGAAACUUUAGGAUUUAGUUGAAAAACUCGUCAUAAAUUGUUCACGUCGGUCGACCCUCGGUAGUGUACACAUUAUUCUAUAUCGGUUCAUACGAACUCGUCAUAAAUCGUGCUUGAUAUUGCUCGGUGUCCGAUUAUACUUGAUAUUUUUUCCAUGACUUGAGAUUUAUAAUUACAUGAUGGCUCUUAUUUUCUGAAAUUAGUAAGUGAUAGUUGGAGAUUUUAAUUGAUAUCUAGUUCAAGAACUACUUAUUUAUUGUUCACUAUUGCGUUGUUACUGAUGUAUUCCAUGCCUAUUUAUAGUUUCUGCACUUUAUUUCUUGACCCUUAGUAAGUGUCGAUGUCGACCCUCUCCACUACUUCUUCGAGGUUAGACUAGAUACUUACAAGGUAUAUGUUGUUUGUGUACUCACGCUACACUUCUGCACUAAUCGUGCAGGAUCUAAGGCAGGUGCAUCUGGAGACCAU
Molecule: long non-coding RNA, 2573 nt
Filed under: Nicotiana tabacum (common tobacco)
Lineage: Eukaryota; Viridiplantae; Streptophyta; Magnoliopsida; Solanales; Solanaceae
Description: long non-coding RNA (NTAB_LNC000544)
Source: RNAcentral